UAUUGGGCGUAAGAGCUCGUAGGCGGUUUGUCGCGUCUGCCGUGAAAGUCCGGGGCUUAACCCCGGAUCUGCGGUGGGUACGGGCAGACUUGAGUGAUGUAGGGGAGACUGGAAUUCCUGGUGUAGCGGUGAAAUGCGCAGAUAUCAGGAGGAACACCGAUGGCGAAGGCAGGUCUCUGGGCAUUAACUGACGCUGAGGAGCGAAAGCAUGGGGAGCGAACAGGAUUAGAUACCCUGGUAGUCCAUGCCGUAAACGUUGGGCACUAGGUGUGGGGGACAUUCCACGUUUUCCGCGCCGUAGCUAACGCAUUAAGUGCCCCGCCUGGGGAGUACGGCCGCAAGGCUAAAACUCAAAGGAAUUGACGGGGGCCCGCACAAGCGGCGGAGCAUGCGGAUUAAUUCGAUGCAACGCGAAGAACCUUACCAAGGCUUGACAUGAACCGGAACGGCGCAGAGAUGUGUCGGCCACUUGUGGCCGGUUUACAGGUGGUGCAUGGUUGUCGUCAGCUCGUGUCGUGAGAUGUUGGGUUAAGUCCCGCAACGAGCGCAACCCUCGUUCCAUGUUGCCAGCGGGUUAUGCCGGGGACUCAUGGGAGACUGCCGGGGUCAACUCGGAGGAAGGUGGGGACGACGUCAAAUCAUCAUGCCCCUUAUGUCUUGGGCUUCACGCAUGCUACAAUGGCCGGUACAAAGGGUUGCGAUGCUGUGAGGUGGAGCUAAUCCCAAAAAGCCGGUCUCAGUUCGGAUUGAGGUCUGCAACUCGACCUCAUGAAGUCGGAGUCGCUAGUAAUCGCAGAUCAGCAACGCUGCGGUGAAUACGUUCCCGGGCCUUGUACACACCGCCCGUCAAGUCACGAAAGUUGGUAACACCCGAAGCCGGUGGCCUAACCCCUUGUGGGAGGAGCCGUCGAAGUGGGACCG
This 921-nucleotide ribosomal RNA is filed under the name Arthrobacter sp. RNAcentral's name for it is "bacterial SSU rRNA". It matches the Rfam family "Bacterial small subunit ribosomal RNA", at positions 552 to 1470 of the family's 1533-position model. Lineage: Bacteria; Bacillati; Actinomycetota; Actinomycetes; Micrococcales; Micrococcaceae. The record is from RNAcentral.